AAGUCGUAACAAGGUUUCCGUAGGUGAACCUGCAGAAGGAUCAUUAACACGUAUCCAUGAACCUUCAUCCUGCUCUUGUAACCCGCGUAGUUUGCAAUCUCUGAUAAAUCAUAGCCCGGAAAGUUGUAGUGAUUCAGAGACCUCUGGCUACUUGCGAACAUUGGAACAGUUACAAGCAGUCAGUGGCAUUCCUGUAGACCGUACACUCGGGCAGGAGCUUUGCCAAAGGGUCCCCAUGCCCCCUAAUAACCCCACAGUUUAAUGUGAAGCUCAAUGUAAUACAUUGGGUAAAAAAACCGAACAACUGUUAACAAUGGAUAUCUUGGUUCUC
Molecule: unclassified non-coding RNA, 331 nt
Filed under: fungal sp.
Lineage: Eukaryota; Fungi
Description: partial internal transcribed spacer region
Rfam family: Eukaryotic small subunit ribosomal RNA (bases 1-46)
Source: RNAcentral